GACGAACGCUGGCGGCGUGCUUAACACAUGCAAGUCGAGCGGUAAGGCCCUUUCGGGGGUACACGAGCGGCGAACGGGUGAGUAACACGUGGGUGACCUGCCCUCAGCUCUGGGAUAAGCCUGGGAAACCGGGUCUAAUACUGGAUAUGACUCCAUGACGCAUGUUGUGGGGUGGAAAGCCUUGUGCGGCUGAGGAUGGGCCCNCGGCCUAUCAGCUUGUUGGUGGGGUGAGGCCUACCAAGGCGACGACGGGUAGCCGGCCUGAGAGGGCGACCGGCCACACUGGGACUGAGACACGGCCCAGACUCCUACGGGAGGCAGCAGUGGGGAAUCUUGCGCAAUGGGCGAAAGCCUGACGCAGCGACGCCGCGUGA
This 374-nucleotide ribosomal RNA is filed under the name uncultured bacterium. RNAcentral describes it as "bacterial SSU rRNA". It matches the Rfam family "Bacterial small subunit ribosomal RNA", at positions 28 to 404 of the family's 1533-position model. The record is from RNAcentral.